AAAAGGCCUGGUCGAAGCUGCGUUCCACUGUUAAUGUUUAACUGCAGUCAAAACAUGGCCAAUAUUAAAGUUCUCUCAUUGGUCACUGAUUUGGUGAUUGUACCAUAUCAGUAUUACCCAGGGAUGAAGACAAAA
Small nucleolar RNA from Schistocerca americana (American grasshopper), 135 nucleotides. The record is from RefSeq and is a predicted model, not a curated record. NCBI's taxonomy places the organism in Eukaryota, Metazoa, Arthropoda, Insecta, Orthoptera, Acrididae.